Molecule: ribosomal RNA, 253 nt
Filed under: uncultured bacterium
Lineage: Bacteria
Description: partial 16S ribosomal RNA
Rfam family: Bacterial small subunit ribosomal RNA
Source: RNAcentral
GACGUAGGGCGCGAGCGUCGUCCGGAUUUAUUGGGCGUAAAGAGCUCGUAGGCGGCUCGUCGCGUCGGUGGUGAAAUUCCGCAGCUUAACUGUGGGCUUGCCGCCGAUACGGGCGGGCUGGAGUUCGGUAGGGGAGACUGGAAUUCCUGGUGUAGCGGUGAAAUGCGCAGAUAUCAGGAGGAACACCGGUGGCGAAGGCGGGUCUCUGGGCCGAUACUGACGCUGAGGAGCGAAAGCGUGGGGAGCGAACAGG